RNAcentral lists this ribosomal RNA (253 nucleotides) under uncultured bacterium. RNAcentral describes it as "partial 16S ribosomal RNA". It matches the Rfam family "Bacterial small subunit ribosomal RNA", at positions 524 to 776 of the family's 1533-position model. The record is from RNAcentral.
UACGUAGGGGCCGAGCGUUGUCCGGAGUUAUUGGGCGUAAAGCGCGCGCAGGCGGCCUCGCGCGCCCGACGUGAAAGCCCCCGGCUUAACCGGGGAGGGUCGUUGGGGACGGCGGGGCUUGAGGGCGGGAGAGGUCGGUGGAAUUCCCGGUGUAGCGGUGAAAUGCGUAGAGAUCGGGAGGAACAUCAGUGGCGAAGGCGGCCUUCUGGACCAGUACUGACGCUGAGGCACGAAAGCGUGGGGAGCAAACAGG